GGUGGCUCAGUGGUAGAGCACUUGCCUUGCAUGCAUGAGGUCCUGGGUUCGAUUCCUCAGUACCA
Non-coding RNA from Dipodomys ordii (Ord's kangaroo rat), 65 nucleotides. Lineage: Eukaryota; Metazoa; Chordata; Mammalia; Rodentia; Heteromyidae. The record is from Rfam.